GUCUGUGUCUGUGUUUCCAGAUAACCCCGUCAAACUCAGAGAUAGAGUAAUUAACGGGAAAGAGCCGCAGCUCGGAUCCAAGCGCAGGUUUGCAGAGGUGAAGAGAAAAAAGGAUGAAGAGAAGAACAGGGAGGUGUGUUUGACCAACAGACAGCGGGUGGAACUGUUCAAAAAGAAACUGUUGGAUCAGAUCCUUCAGAGGAGCAGCAGCUGAACAACGGAUGAGGACGAUGGCUCCACUGCAGCGUCAUGUAACAGACUGAAGACGUGCACUUUGCCUUUUGACUGAGCUGAAUAUGAGUUUGAAUAUCAACGCCGGCCUGGAUAUCUCUCGAGCCUCAUCUCAGCUUCAGCCCCUGUUUGUUUCUCUCCUUCGUUUCAAUGCAUUUUUGAUACAGAGCUCGACAUCUGUUUUUUCUUUCUGGAAAAUAAGAGAAAUCCUUCAAAACACCAGAAGGUCAUCUAACAACAAUUACUGCUGUUUUGCUGGCUAUUUUUUCCCAACUUCCAAAGACUCCCCUGUCCAAAAGUAUUAUGCUCUCAGAUGCACCAUAACAAAAUCCUUUUUAUCUUGUUGCAACAAUACUUUUAAGCUCCACAACAAUAGAUGUUUGGCAGAAGUUGCAUAUCUCCUUGCUCAUUUGAAUAGAUAAAUACCUAAUCAUACAUUUUCAAAUGGCUGUUUUUAUGCAGGAGGUUUAAAGGGUCUUGUGAUAUUCUAAAAAUACCUUCAAAACAGUGUUAAAUGUUGUCAAACUGACUUUCGGGUGCAGAUUUCCAUUCUCACCAUCCCUUAGGAAUGGAAUAACAAAUGAACAUGGUCCAGAUGAGUGUAUGAGAUCCUGUGUCCCCACUCUGCUCUGCCUGUAAUCAAACGUCUCACUGACGCUGAUGAACAAACUGACUGAUCCCACUUCGAUCUCACAUCCGCAGCAGAGUGAUUCAUCAGCGUUAUCUCUGUUUUCACUUGAUUGCAAAUCGCCAUUCUCUGCAGAAUACUUAGUGUAAUGGGAUGCAGAGGAACCGCACGAUAAAGCACCGAUGUCCUCACGCAUUGCACGCAACCACUUUCACAUGAUCUCAUGCGAUUCGAGGCAGUGAUAUGAGACAAAAUAAUUCACUAUGCUCCGUUGUUCCAUCCAGGACAGGCUUCACCCGUCCUCAUUAUGCAGCCGAUAGGCAGACAGAUGCCUGAAGUGGGCCCUGCUGUCAAUAGUGCCAGCCAUUAGCAGUAAGAUGGAGGAAUGUGACCCCUUCUCACUGGGGAAUGCCCCCGUUAAUGGACUCUGGUGAUUUGAAAGGAGCUUUUGUCCGGUGAUGGAUCACGGACCUGCCACCGCAGAUUUAGAUUUGUGUGUUUUGAUCCAAAGCGUAUGUGUGCUGCUCGACAACAUGAUGGAGCUGGCUGUAAAUCAAGAAUGAGACCUAUGAAUAUUUAUUUUUCCGGGGGAGCGACAGGCAACACGGCAGAUGCUCUUCUUCAUCACUCUUUGCUGUUAUUUGACUCAUUAGCCUUUAAGUUGCAGCUCUAUCACAGUCCAGAUGUUUUAUCCGUCAAAAUGUAUGCUUAUGUCACGGAGAAGCCAGACGAUUGCUGACUACUACUGUUGAAAACCUUACUUCACGUCGGUGCGUAUCAAUGUGUGGGUGUGUUUAGACAGUUGGAGUCUACUAAUAACAGCAGCAGUGUAAAAAAAAGACAAUUUAUGAACUGUGGCUGCUGCUUAAAAUGUUAUUGAUUGUUUAUCGUUUUCUCUAUUUAAAGAUAUAAAAGCUAAGUAGUUUACCCACUGCUGACAAAAAUAUGU
Long non-coding RNA from Pleuronectes platessa (European plaice), 1808 nucleotides. RefSeq lists it as uncharacterized. NCBI's taxonomy places the organism in Eukaryota, Metazoa, Chordata, Actinopteri, Pleuronectiformes, Pleuronectidae. The transcript is spliced from 3 exons. The record is from RefSeq and is a predicted model, not a curated record.